This is a long non-coding RNA of Oreochromis aureus, 334 nucleotides long. The record is from Ensembl. Lineage: Eukaryota; Metazoa; Chordata; Actinopteri; Cichliformes; Cichlidae.
GACAAUGGAUGACACGUCUCUACUACGUCUGCUCUUUAUGACUUCAAUGCUUUGCUGGACAACAAACCAAGCUCGUCUGACUGUGAGUCCCAGCAGCUCUCAGUUCUUUGAAGGAGACUUUGUGUCUCUGAGCUGUGAGGAGGACGACAGCUCUGCUGGAUGGACUCUGAGGAGAAACACAAGCAGAGACACUGGAGCUGAGUGUAAGAAGUGGGGAGAAGCAUCUGGUUCUUCAUGUAACAUCAGCUACAUCGACCCAUUGGACAGUGGAGUUUACUGGUGUGAGUCCAGAGAGGGUCCCAUCAGUAACAUGGUUAACCUGACAGUCACUGGU